GACUCGAUGGCAGAGGAUAUGCGUGCACCACUUUUACGAUGCGAAACAUGAUGGUGUGCGGAUUACGCCCGUUCGAAUCGGGCUCGAGUCU
Roridomyces roridus is the source of this 91-nucleotide non-coding RNA. NCBI's taxonomy places the organism in Eukaryota, Fungi, Basidiomycota, Agaricomycetes, Agaricales, Mycenaceae. The record is from the annotation of a GenBank genome assembly.